UGGGGAAUAUUGCACAAUGGGGGAAACCCUGAUGCAGCAACGCCGCGUGAGUGAUGAAGGCCUUCGGGUUGUAAAGCUCUGUCUUCAGGGACGAUAAUGACGGUACCUGAGGAGGAAGCCACGGCUAACUACGUGCCAGCAGCCGCGGUAAUACGUAGGUGGCAAGCGUUGUCCGGAUUUACUGGGCGUAAAGGGAGCGUAGGCGGAUACUUAAGUGGGAUGUGAAAUACCCGGGCUCAACUCGGGUGCUGCAUUCCAAACUGGGUGUCUAGAGUGCAGGAGAGGAAAGUGGAAUUCCUAGUGUAGCGGUGAAAUGCGUAGAGAUUAGGAAGAACACCAGUGGCGAAGGCGACUUUUCUUGGACUGUAACUGACGCUGAGGCUCGAAAGCGUGGGGGAGCAAACA
Molecule: ribosomal RNA, 405 nt
Filed under: uncultured Clostridium sp.
Lineage: Bacteria; Bacillati; Bacillota; Clostridia; Eubacteriales; Clostridiaceae
Description: bacterial SSU rRNA
Rfam family: Bacterial small subunit ribosomal RNA
Source: RNAcentral